CCUACGGGUGGCAGCAGUGGGGAAUAUUGCACAAUGGGGGAAACCCUGAUGCAGCGACGCCGCGUGAGUGAAGAAGUAUUUCGGUAUGUUAAGCUCUAUCAGCAGGGAAGAAAUAGCGACCUUUGGGUCGCCAGACGGUACCUGAUUAAGAAGCCCCGGCUAACUACGUGCCAGCAGCCGCGGUAAUACGGAGGGGGCAAGCGUUAUCCGGAUUUACUGGGAGUAAAGGGAGCGUAGACGGCAGCGCAAGUUUGAAGUGAAAUGCCGGGGCUUAACCCCGGAACUGCUUUUGAAACUGUGCAGCUAGAGUGCAGGAUGGGUAAGUGGAAUUCCGAGUGUAGCGGUGAAAUGCGUAGAUAUUAGGAGGAACACCAGUUGCGAAGGCGGCUUACUAGACUGUAACUGACGUUGAGGCUCGAAAGCGUGGGGAGCAAACAGGAUUAGAUACCCCAGUAGUC
Molecule: ribosomal RNA, 458 nt
Filed under: uncultured bacterium
Lineage: Bacteria
Description: partial 16S ribosomal RNA
Rfam family: Bacterial small subunit ribosomal RNA
Source: RNAcentral